GCAGUCGUGCCUGAGUGAUUAAGGUGAUGGACUAGAAAUCCAUUGGGGUCACCCCGCACUGGUUCGAAUCCUGUCGACUGCG
This 82-nucleotide transfer RNA is filed under the name Ixodes scapularis (black-legged tick). It matches the Rfam family "tRNA". Rfam says of the family: Transfer RNA (tRNA) molecules are approximately 80 nucleotides in length. Their secondary structure includes four short double-helical elements and three loops (D, anti-codon, and T loops). Further hydrogen bonds mediate the characteristic L-shaped molecular structure. tRNAs have two regions of fundamental functional importance: the anti-codon, which is responsible for specific mRNA codon recognition, and the 3' end, to which the tRNAs corresponding amino acid is attached (by aminoacyl-tRNA synthetases). tRNAs cope with the degeneracy of the genetic code in two manners: having more than one tRNA (with a specific anti-codon) for a particular amino acid; and 'wobble' base-pairing, i.e. permitting non-standard base-pairing at the 3rd anti-codon position. The record is from Rfam by way of RNAcentral. Lineage: Eukaryota; Metazoa; Arthropoda; Arachnida; Ixodida; Ixodidae.